This 370-nucleotide ribosomal RNA is filed under the name uncultured bacterium. Its description in RNAcentral is "bacterial SSU rRNA". It matches the Rfam family "Bacterial small subunit ribosomal RNA", at positions 527 to 896 of the family's 1533-position model. The record is from RNAcentral.
GUAUGGUGCAGGCGUUAUCCGGAUUUACUGGGUGUAAAGGGAGCGUAGACGGAUAGGCAAGUCUGGAGUGAAAGCCCGGGGCUCAACCCCGGGACUGCUUUGGAAACUGUUUAUCUAGAGUGCUGGAGAGGUAAGUGGAAUUCCUAGUGUAGCGGUGAAAUGCGUAGAUAUUAGGAGGAACACCAGUGGCGAAGGCGGCUUACUGGACAGUAACUGACGUUGAGGCUCGAAAGCGUGGGGAGCAAACAGGAUUAGAUACCCUGGUAGUCCACGCCGUAAACGAUGACUGCUAGGUGUCGGGUGGCAAAGCCAUUCGGUGCCGCAGCAAACGCAAUAAGCAGUCCACCUGGGGAGUACGUUCGCAAGAAUG